CAGUCGCCACGGUAAUACGAAGGGUGCAAGCGUUACUCGGAACUACUGGGCGUAAAGCGUGCGUAGGUGGUGGUUUAAGUCCGUUGUGAAAGCCCUGGGCUCAACCUGGGAAUUGCAGUGGAUACUGGAUCACUAGAGUGUGGUAGAGGAUAGUGGAAUUUCCGGUGUAGCAGUGAAAUGCGUAGAGAUCGGAAGGAACAUCUGUGGCGAAGGCGACUAUCUGGGCCACGCUGACACUGAGGCACGAAAGCGUGGGGAGCAAACAGGAUUAGAUACCCCAGUAGUCCCUGUCUCUUAUACA
This 301-nucleotide ribosomal RNA is filed under the name uncultured bacterium. RNAcentral's name for it is "partial 16S ribosomal RNA". It matches the Rfam family "Bacterial small subunit ribosomal RNA", at positions 509 to 808 of the family's 1533-position model. The record is from RNAcentral.